AGUGAACGCUGGCGGUAGGCCUAACACAUGCAAGUCGAACGGCAGCACAGUAAGAGCUUGCUCUUACGGGUGGCGAGUGGCGGACGGGUGAGGAAUACAUCGGAAUCUACUUUUUCGUGGGGGAUAACGUAGGGAAACUUACGCUAAUACCGCAUAUGACCUACGGGUGAAAGCAGGGGAUCUUCGGAGCUUUCGCGAUUGAAUGAGCCGAUGUCGGAUUAGCUAGUUGGCGGGGUAAAGGCCCACCAAGGCGACGAUCCGUAGCUGGUCUGAGAGGAUGAUCGGCCACACUGGAACUGAGACACGGUCCAGACUCCUACGGGAGGCAGCAGUGGGGAAUAUUGGACAAUGGGCGCAAGCCUGAUCCAGCCAUACCGCGUGGGUGAAGAAGGCCUUCGGGUUGUAAAGCCCUUUUGUUGGGAAAGAAAAGCAGCAGGUUAAUACCCCGCUGUUCUGACGGUACCCAAAGAAUAAGCACCGGCUAACUUCGUG
RNAcentral lists this ribosomal RNA (492 nucleotides) under uncultured bacterium. RNAcentral's name for it is "partial 16S ribosomal RNA". It matches the Rfam family "Bacterial small subunit ribosomal RNA", at positions 29 to 507 of the family's 1533-position model. The record is from RNAcentral.